AGUCCUGUAGUGAGUAACACGUCUAAUUGCAAAUCCGAAAAAGUUCCAUUUUUGG
Molecule: transfer RNA, 55 nt
Filed under: Bavayia sp. goroensis
Lineage: Eukaryota; Metazoa; Chordata; Lepidosauria; Squamata; Diplodactylidae
Description: tRNA-Cys
Source: RNAcentral